AGAGUGUAAAAUGAUGAAAUAGUUUAUUUCUUGAAUGAAAGUAAUACAUUGGAGUAAAACUUAACUCUAUUUUGGAGUGGGAAAUGGAGUAAUACAUUGGAGUAAAACUUAACUCUAUUUUGGAGUUACUCCAUUUUAGAGUAGAAAAUGGAGUAAUACAUUGGAGAUGCUCUAAACCUGUUUUUGGGACAGAGAGAAAUAACCAUGGAAGGACUUGCUUACCCUCAUGAUGAAUCGCUUGGAAGUUAUAAGGAGCUUACACCACUUGUAGAGCAGAUUUCUAGAGAUCCGACCGAAGCUGGAUACAAGUUGUGCAUCUUAAUGUGCUCAGCUCACAAAGAAAAUAUUAUGAAUGAGUUUGUAUCCAGUGAUCAUGUACGCUUGAGACUGCUUCUUUGGGGAGCUAUUAAAAAUUUGACGCUCUCAGGACGUGACCUUAAAGAAGUUUCUAAACCAAUAACAAUCAAACCAAAAAUGAGCAGCAUUACAAAUUUCUUAUCGAACCAGCCUAUCUGUUUUCAUCAGUUGAGUUUUGAAUUGUGUAUAAAAGAAUAAACUAAAUUAAGUAAAAAAUCAUACUCUAUAAUUUUAGUUUGACUAUAAUAUAAGGAAGAUAUUUUUGAAAAAGGUUUUCAUCCUUUACUAGAAGUUACCUUUUGUGUAUGUUUGGGUUUCUAUAUGUAGUCUAAACAAAGAGGGAUUUAUGAAAGAAAAAAAAGGCUGAGCAAAGCAAAUAUCAUAGCUAGGAAGUAUCAUUCAAAAAAAAAAAAAUCAAAGUACAUAUCACCAUGAAGACUUUAAUCGUAUUUGUUUUUGCUGCUAUGUUCUUCAUAUCCUCGAUUCACUAUGGUGCAACAGCCGCUACUACUCCAAAUCUGAAGGAUAUCGAAUGCUUCAGCGGAACAGAAGCAUGCUUCUAUGGAGGCGACAGAAUCUGCACUGCAUUUUGUAAAGAACAUAAUUUUUUUUAUGGUUUGUGUACUCCUCAUGCAUGUUGUUGUCAUAUCCCAACAGGUUCGAGAUGAAAUGAGCUAAUCAUAUGUUUUGUAAUAUCUAUACAUAUGAUCUCAAUCGAAAUCAAUAAAAUCUAUUAAAGUUGUUAGA
This is a long non-coding RNA of Brassica napus (rape), 1104 nucleotides long. RefSeq lists it as uncharacterized. The transcript is spliced from 2 exons. The record is from RefSeq and is a predicted model, not a curated record. NCBI's taxonomy places the organism in Eukaryota, Viridiplantae, Streptophyta, Magnoliopsida, Brassicales, Brassicaceae.